AGAUCUGUUUAAAACCCUUAAACCCUCACUUGACCUUUUAAUUACCGAUUUUCUUGUAAUUCCUUUAGUCCAGAUAUCAGAUUAGGAGAUCUUACGGAGGCUGUGCAAAAAUUUACACAUCACUUUCCCCUUUGGGGGUUAUUGAGAAAUGCUAUUGAUUGUUUAUUGUGACAUAUAUGAACAGAGAAAAAUAAAAGAUACAGACAACACUAGUAGG
Molecule: long non-coding RNA, 217 nt
Filed under: Zostera marina
Lineage: Eukaryota; Viridiplantae; Streptophyta; Magnoliopsida; Alismatales; Zosteraceae
Description: long non-coding RNA (ZMAR_LNC003910)
Source: RNAcentral